GACGAACGCUGGCGGCGUGCCUAAUACAUGCAAGUCGAGCGGACGGAUGGGAGCUUGCUCCCAGACCGUCAGCGGCGGACGGGUGAGUAACACGUGGGCAACCUGCCUGUAAGACUGGGAUAACUCCGGGAAACCGGGGCUAAUACCGGAUAACUCUUUCCCUCACACGAGGGAAAGCUGAAAGAUGGCAUCUCGCUAUCACUUACAAAUGGGCCCGCGGCGCAUUAGCUAGUUGGUGAGGUAACGGCUCACCAAGGCGACGAUGCGUAGCCGACCUGAGAGGGUGAUCGGCCACACUGGGACUGAGACACGGCCCAGACUCCUACGGGAGGCAGCAGUAGGGAAUCUUCCGCAAUGGACGAAAGUCUGACGGAGCAACGCCGCGUGAGUGAUGAAGGUUUUCGGAUCGUAAAACUCUGUUGUCAGGGAAGAACAAGUACCGGAGUAACUGCCGGUACCUUGACGGUACCUGACCAGAAAGCCACGGCUAACUACGUG
RNAcentral lists this ribosomal RNA (498 nucleotides) under uncultured bacterium. RNAcentral's name for it is "partial 16S ribosomal RNA". It matches the Rfam family "Bacterial small subunit ribosomal RNA", at positions 28 to 507 of the family's 1533-position model. The record is from RNAcentral.